AUUUGGGGAAUGAAUUUACCGGUUUACUUCAUCCUGAUACCUUUGCUUGCUAUUGGACUAUGUUCCCCAGAUUUCAUCAUCAAAUCAGUUGUAUUGAAUGAACACAAAAUUAAAACAAAACAGAAUUACGUUUUUUUCGUUUUUAAUUACAAAUGACUUACGGAUUAUCCGAUGAUACACGGUGCGAACUAUCACAUUUCCAGUGAUUACAAACAAUUUUGCUAUCUUGAGUAACAGAUCGGGCAGCCGGUACCGAGGAUGUAUGAUACGGAUCGGGCAUUGAGAAGUCUAGUGGCUCGUGACGACUGCUAGGACCAUAUAUCAGUCCUGUGACAGAUGCCUUACUCUGAUGACGACACAGUAGUGUUGAAGCGUUCGUCUUUUUGCACGGUUAAAGGCUGCAGGUCAGUCAAUGUGUUCCAGUCCCUUUCUUUCCCUUGGCUUGGAAAUUUGCUGUCCUCGAGCUGAAAAGCACCUGAUUCAGCUUCUUACUGCUGGACGAUGCACAGACAACCCUGUUUCAGCUGGGCACUAGACUUUUUAUGUUUAAGGGGGUGCUCGGCCUGGUCAGAAAAAUGGCCGUUUUUUUAAGGCUAUAGUUAUAGUAUUUUAUUUUUUUAUUAAUUCUUAAUUUCCAGACACACUGUUCUGCUGAGAAAGCCAAUCACAACUGAUCAAACACCAAAAUCAAAUUUCUAUUAAUUUUGCUCUUGACGUCUUAUUUAUUCUAACAUUGCCUCACAGAUUGUUUGUAUGCAGCAGUAUGACUCAGUUUCCUUACAUGAUGAUGGUCUAAAUGCUCUUAAAAGUCUUCUCCACAUUGUCAAUAAUACAAUUUGUAUAGGGAAACAUUGAGAUUUUUUUUUCUCACAUUAAUCAUUCAUGUAUUUUACUUGCCAAUACAUCACUUUAUGAUAUUUUUAUUGCCUUGCUGAAAUUUCAAAACCCCAUCACGUUUGUUGCCCAGGAAAUCCUAUCCUGCCCAUUCCAUCAAUUCAAACAGCCUCUCUUGCCAACUGAUAACAUUUGGUUUACAAUUUGAAUGACCCCUUUGCAAGAGCUAUGUAUGUAUGUAUAUGAAAGGGUCACGCCUGCAGUCAGUUAUCUUGUGGGUGGGACAGACAGCCUGCAAACCAAUCCAUAACACCAACCCUCCUCCAACGGCCAUUUUACUGGUUAUGCUGUCAUUGUAACCAUUUGAAAGCUAGAGGUCGUAGUUGCCUCAUCUUGAGUCACUGAAUGAGUAAAACAGACAGUGACAUGUGACAGACAGUCCAUGUGUCAUCUUGGAGUACAAGUCCUUUUUUUCACCACCACACUACAGUGGGUCCUGCAAAGUGUUUUUGUAUUUAUGUCACCCAUCCAUCUACCCUGCUUUCUGUGUAAAUUGGGAUUGUAAGCUUCUAAUAUGUUAUGUUAUGUUGUGUUAUAUAACAUAUGUGGCUUGCUCAAUAAAAUUGCAAAUAUAUUUUUGUUUUUUCAACAUAUUUAUCUCUCACAACCUCAAAAUUUUGAAAAUAAUCUCUUCAUCUAAUUUUUUGUUCUGCUCUGGGUCUCUUUCUUUCUUUCUUGCCAACACUAGCAUUAUUAUGACCUAUUAGUGAAAAGACUUAAUUGUGGGACGUUGGGGAACUAACAAUGGAAGUGGGACAUAGCUUUAUGACUCAGGCAACACCUUUAAGGGAAAAACACAUGACCGAAGACAACAGCAAGGUGUGUGCUUUCCCAGUGAUACUCAACAAUACUUCAGCUUACUGAACAUGAACCAGGCCUAAAGAUUUGGUAGAAAAGUGUUCGCAUUUGCUGUAUUUUGUGUUGUACAGUGUUAAAAAGUAAUGCUUGAUUGCUUAAAUUAUCACCCCUGUCUUCUCUAGUAGGGAAUAAAACACACUGCAGGUGCAUGUGUUAAGCACCAAAUGUGAAACCAAAAUAUUUUAAUUUGAUGUAACUUUGCAUAACAUUUACACUAUAGUGCUAUACAAGCUUUGGGUUAAAAGAAUGUGAUACCGACAUCAAUUGCCUCAUUUGUUACCAAUGAGGCUCACAGCCUUAGGAGAGAAAGUGACCUUAAAAUAAACGCAGUGCAGUUGACGCUGUGGUAUCGCCCUUAGCCUCCUGACUGCCACGGAUAUGUUCAUUACAAACAGGUUUAAAGUCAGUGAGAGACAGUUUAUCUUGAGUUAGUCUAAUUUUCACAAAGGGCUUUCUGGGCUUAGAAAUCUGAAUAGAAUAACAGGGACAAUCAAGGUGUACUUAAAUAAUUGAUUCUGUGCCUGAUAUUUAUGCACUGUUUCUGUGGUUGACUUUUAUGUAGAAUAUUGUGAAACUGCUCUGACAGGCAGUUGCUGUUUACUCCAUUUAGUCAGCUGACGCCUUAUGAGGCGAUUCACAUGUAUUCAGUUUCUCUACUCUCCCAAGGGGUUGAAGAACCAACAGGGAAGGAGGAGCAGGUCUCAUAUAUAUUGUAUUGCUUGAUAAAGACAGUUCAACUUAGGAAAAGAGUGUGGGAAAGUGGUAUGCUUGACAAACAAUGUAUUUUGUUUGAUCAAACCUGUACAUUUUUGUUUGUUAAAGGUGCCAUUGGGAUUCAGAACAUACGUAACGUGUUUGGAGAUUUUGUCCUUAAAAAUAAAAAUACAUUUCAACAAAAA
Molecule: long non-coding RNA, 2651 nt
Organism: Siniperca chuatsi (mandarin fish)
Lineage: Eukaryota; Metazoa; Chordata; Actinopteri; Centrarchiformes; Sinipercidae
Exons: 3
Source: RefSeq, a predicted model, not a curated record